GAACUUCUUUGGUUUAGUGAUGCUAUGUUUUUGUGUCUGUUUGAUUGAUGGGAAAAUGUGAGUGAAAAUGAACAUCAAUUUGAUCCGUUGGUCUUUAUUUUGUCUAUUUUUUUGGUUUCUGGAAAAUGGAACAUUGACCUUGGCAUUAAAAGAGCUUGAUUAAUUUCUUCUGUUAGGCAUUAUCGCCAAUUGAUUGCUAAUGGCGUUAACAUGAGCUUGGAAUUUGUUUUUGUUUGGUGGGUUGGGGGCAACAACUAUACCAUGGGUGAUGAAAAAUUUUAGAUGGUUAUUUGGUAUGGAGGAAUCUUGAUUCAGCUAAGCUUUUGGUGUUGGAGAAUCUUGGGAUCAUAUUUGUUUUGCUAU
This 363-nucleotide unclassified non-coding RNA is filed under the name Hevea brasiliensis (rubber tree). The record is from RNAcentral. Lineage: Eukaryota; Viridiplantae; Streptophyta; Magnoliopsida; Malpighiales; Euphorbiaceae.